CACCCGUUCCCAUCCCGAACACGGUAGUUAAGCUCAAACGUGCCGAAAAUACUCGGAGGGCAGCCUCCCGGAAAAAUAGGUAAUGCCGACAUU
This 93-nucleotide ribosomal RNA is filed under the name Firmicutes bacterium CAG:341. Lineage: Bacteria; Bacillati; Bacillota. The record is from RNAcentral.